This 2289-nucleotide long non-coding RNA is filed under the name Sus scrofa (pig). RNAcentral describes it as "lncRNA (ENSSSCG00035024768.1)". The record is from RNAcentral. Lineage: Eukaryota; Metazoa; Chordata; Mammalia; Artiodactyla; Suidae.
UUUUUUUUUUUUUUCCUUUUGAAAAGUCUCCAUUUUAUUUCUUAUUUUUGAAGGCUGGCAAGUGCCCAUAGAUAGCACUUAAUCUUAAUUCUUGAGGCUGUGCUUUGAUUUACCAGAGUUAUUUGCCAUCAAAAGAAGGUUUCAUUUAUUUACAAUAUUUGACAUAAAGGAACCAAUGCUGAUUUUUUUUAAAUGUUGCUUUGUACAUUGCAGUAUCUUUGAGGGCAAGUUUAUUAUGCUUUCAUUUUAGUCUGAUAUGGUAAUCAUUAAAUUGCAAAAAAUGUGCAAGAAGAUUGACAUGGACCAGUCCUACACCAUUUAUGGCAUAUUGGGGUAUAUCAAUUAAGUCAGAAUGAUACAGAUAAGACAGAAAUAUCAGUGGAACAGAAUGGGGAGCCCAGAGAUAAAUUCAUAUAUAAAUAGUGAAGGCAGGAAGGUAACCCUGAAAAUCAGUGAAAAGGGAAGAAUUAAUAACCGGUACUGGGACAAUUAGGUAUGUAUUUUUUAAAAUCAUAUUCUCAUCUUACUCAAAAAAUAAAGUAUAAAACCCAAAACACGCAAAUACAAAAGAAAACGUAACUUAAUAUUUAUCAAAGGUAGAAGUCAACCUAAAACUAACAGAAGAAUGAACAAAGACAAUUAUCAAGAGAUUCAACCAUAUCAAAAUUUCACAUUUCUGUAUAACAAAAAAAAAGUGGGGGGGACAUUCUUUAUGAUCCAAAGAACUCACGAAAUCACUUGAAAAGACGCUAAAAUUAGCAUAUAAAUCAGAGGAAAAUGACAAUAGGCUAUUCAACAAAGAAGAAACACAAAUCCUGUAAUAGAAUUUGAAACAUAGUCUAACUCACUUAUAAAGAGAGGCAAAACAUAAUAAGAAGAUGCCUUUUGUAGCCCAGGCAUUUGAAAAAUGGUGUGUUUGAGUGGGAAUAUCCAUUGCACUGCAAAAAAAAAAAAAAAAAACCAAACAGAUACAACCACUUUAAAGUAUCUGGCGAUAUGCACAUCAAAAGCCUUGAUAAUGAUAUGAUUUUAUCCCAGAAAGUCUACUUCUCCUUAAAUUAACAUAAGCAGUCUGUGCCUUUCUUACCUCAUAAAUCUUUGAAUCUGUCUUUGAAAGUCAACACAGGCAAGUCAGGGAGCAGACCAUGUUGUUACAGGGCAGGAAUGGCUGGCUACAAGGUCUGUGAGCCCCAGAGCAAAAGGAAAACGUGGGGCUUUUAUUAAAAAAUGAUUAAGAACUUCAAGAGGGCAACAACAGAGCAACAAAGCAAGUGUGGGGCCCUUUAGAGCACAGGGCAGGAAACUCAGGGGCCUGCCCUGUUGGGGGACAUUCUGGACCUAGACUGCUGGGUUGCCUGGGGAGGUGAUUCUCUUAUUUUGGCCAUGCAAGCACUGCCCUUCAGAUCCUGCCUUGGGAUGCAGUAGGAACAGAUGGUGGAUGCUGAGAGGAAGAACCCCUCUUCUUUCCAGAGGGGGAGGAGGGAGUAAGAUCCUGGAUAUGACGCACCAGAGUAGAGACAGGUACCAAAGCCUGGGCAUUUGCUAACGCAACCCAAAACUAUAAAACCAUCUCCCAGUCUCUCCUAAGGGUAGCGCAGUCUUUGAGGCAUGAGCCUGCUGUGACCCUCCUUUGCCUGGCAAAGCAAUAAAGCUGUUUUUUCUCCUCCGCCCAAAACUCCGUCUCUGCAUUUCUACUAGGCACCUGUGAGCAGAGGCUGAGUUCCGGCAACAGGAUGCUGGUACCAUUUACAGUCAUUCAGCACUUAAAAAGCAAUAAUCGUAGCUGACAUUUACUGCCAUCAGGGGACUGUACCAAUUUGUUUUUAUGUAGACAUUCUCACUGCAUUGACAGUCCUAUCUUCUACAUCCCAGGAGUCACAGCCUCUCAUACACUACAGCUGGCAAAAAGACUCCACUCUCAGGCAAAGUUUACUGCUUGAGUCUAGUUUCUAGACAAUGCUCUAGAAAAAGGGAAAUGGAAACAGGAAAUUCACAGCACACUUCUUUUCACAUGUAAAGAUUGACCAAGUUUCUACGUCAGGAGUUCCCGUCAUGGCUCAGCGACAAUGAAUCCAACUAGGAACCAUGAGGUGGCAGGUUCGAUCCCUGGCCUAGCUCAGUAGGUUAAGGAUCCGGUGUUGCAGUGAGCUGUGGUGUAGAUCGCAGAUGCAGCUUGGACCUGGCGGCUGUGGCUGUGGCGUAGGCCAGCAGCUAUAGCUCCAAUUCGACCCCUNGUCCUGGGAACCUCCAUAUGCCACGGGCACAACUCUAAAAAGCAAAACAAAAAAA